This is a long non-coding RNA of Gopherus evgoodei (Goodes thornscrub tortoise), 1400 nucleotides long. RefSeq lists it as uncharacterized. Lineage: Eukaryota; Metazoa; Chordata; Testudines; Testudinidae. The transcript has 5 exons. The record is from RefSeq and is a predicted model, not a curated record.
AGUGGAAGCCAUUCAUAAAUGGGGCAAAGUUGGAAGUUCUCAAGAAAUGCAGCGCUUCCUAGACUUCACUCAUCCUGUGAAAUCGAGAUGUGCUGGCUCUCAGUGAUGCUUAGACGGAAAACCAUGCAGCCCACAGAGAGGUUGGAACCACCCACUCCCCGGUUGUCCUGAGGAGCCAUGAUUUCUCCAGGAGCUGGGUAAAGGGCACAGGGAUCAGUCUGUCAAAGGUAGGGGAGGAUUGUGAGAGGAGAGGGUCUAAGAGAGGAGGAGCAUGGGCUAGGCUCUCUAUUUGGGCUUGGCAGGGAUUGAGAGAAGGGACAGGGCUGUUAGAGGGCAGUGCGAGGGGGGUCGGAGAUGGGGGCAAGGCCUGAAAAGUUCAGCUGCUUUAGACCAACUGUGCCAGAGAAUCACUGGUUGAAGUGACUGAAAGCUCUGACCUGGGGCUGUCCAAAAUCCUCUUCCUCAGAUGGGAAUAUGCCAAAAGCUCAGCCUCUGAGGUGAAUGUUGUGGCCCUAACCUCUCUCUGCUCUGUACCUCACAGGAUUCCAGCCGGCUGUUCCAAUCCAGGAGGAAAACUGUGCCACUGAAGUCUCCCAGCACCUGUGCAGUGAAGUGCCACUUAACCCCACUGUGAUGCACAGACCUUGCCCUGGCUGUCUGCACAGGGUUGAAUUUCACCCCUUCAGAGUGUAUUCUAAGGGCCUCCCGUGCGUCAUAUGGGCAUUCUUGGGAGUGCAGACUGCAUCAGACCUGCACCUGAAUAAAUAAUAGGGACUGAAAUAUGCAGACACUAAAGUUCUGCAGCCAAAUUCUCAGAAACCUUCCUCUGCAAUGUAGGAUCAGGAUUUUGGUUUGAAUUGAUUUUUUUUUUUUAAUGUGCUGAGCAGAUGCUACCCUGUAAGAAGAGGAAACAGAAGCAAAAACUGAAAAACAGUUGCUAAAACCAAUGAACAGCUGCAGAGAGUGGAGACCCGGGAAAGCAAACAAAUGAAUACUGAAAAGGAUCCCCAAAGGAGGUGUAAGGAUCCGGGACUCUAGUGUCUGCCAGAAGCUUCAGCCACCUUCACAGGUUAGAGUUCGCCGUCCAUUGCGGAGGUGAAGACCGGAUGGGAGCUGCUGGAUUGACCUUGAUGUGCCCUGUCCUUGUGUGGAUGAAGGACCUACAUCUCAGGGAUGGCCAGUAGUAGAUGUAACACCUGUCCGGGAAUGGGCUAAAUAACCUACACUGAGAGGGAGGAGCCUAAAUUAAGUUUCCCUAAAUCCAUAAUUGGAAUAGUGAAGGAAAGCCUCCCUAGAAGACAAGCAGCUCGGAAAGAAUGGGAUGAUGACAAUACAGUAGAACCCUGCUUACCUGACCCUCCAUUAUCCGGUUCUCUGCAUUAACCCAACAACCAGUGCAC